AUAUAUAUUCCCACUCAUCUCUAUAAAUUCAGCCUUUUCCAAGCUUAUGACAAAACCAGCGCCCCCAUGAAAAUGAACUCUCACACACGCCCUCUCUCUCUCUCUCUCUCUGGCUUUCUCUUCCCAGAAAGGGAUUACUUUGCUGCUCUUCUUCCUUAAAUUUUUAUCAUUACACAUACAUAUCCAGAUGGAUUAAUAUAUACAAGGUGCAUGCAGUACUUCACGCCAUCUAGAAAUCUCAACAUAUGCUAACUGCUGCUAUAUAUAUAUAUAUAUAUAUGUAUAUGGUGGGUGAGUAGAAUCCAUGCUAUCCUUGUCAUGCGAGCAGCCCUUUCUUGGGUUAUCCUUUGUUUCGUUGUCUGUUCGACCUUGUUCCUUUUACACACACACAUAUACAUAUACCUAGGACUAGCAGAAUCUUCAUCACGAUUCACGGUCACCCAUAUGAUCAUAUACAAACCCUAACUGUAAAAUUAAUUAAUUCAACCUCCUUUACAAAACAGGGACCAACAACCACUUUCUUUUCUUUAUCGAUCAGUAGCCAGAUUUGUUUUAUGUAUCGAUCGAUCAGCUUAUUGUUAAAGAAUUAAUUUGGUUUUGCUUUCUCCCAUGCAUACAUUUAUCCGGUCGCUCCCUCCCUCCCAAUAUCUGUGAAUUAUACCUCGAAUGAUGUGCUAGCUCCACAAUUACUCCAUGAAAUCUGUGCUGCAACAAACUAUAGCUAAUCAUUUUUACAUUAAAUGCAUGAAUCAAUAUGCAUGUGUCAAUGUGUAUUUUAUGUGUUGCCUGUUUGGUAGGUGCGCAGCUUUGCACGUGACUUUCAGGUGCACUUGAAACGGCUAGAAAUUAAUUAGAUUGAUGUAAGAUGUGGGAAACUUAAUUAUAACCCUAGUCGUAAUAUACACUUACCCUAUAAUCAACCAUCAUAUGGAUUAAUUCCUGUUUGAGUUGGAAUAGAUUGGUUCCCUAAUCUCAAAUUCUCUCCAAACACUAAUCUACUUUUUGAAUUCCAGUAUUUCCUUAUUAGAGGAGAAAUAUUAUAGCAUCAAGGCUUAGAUAGAUGAUAAUAUUAGGCUAAUCUUUUCCCAGAUUUCUCGGAGUAUAUAUGUACCCUAGUCAAGAAGUGUGGUUGGACCUGGAGCCUGGUGCUAGUAGGUACGUACUAGUAGAGACUAGAGAGAGUAUAAAGGUUUCUUCCCGAUUCCUUUAAGCUUUUUUGAAUUUAAGGAUUGCUAAGCUAAUUACUUUAGAUACGGAUAAUGGUCUUCCUAAAUUAUAAUCCACAAAAACUUUUGCAAUCCAUGAUAAUAAGAAGUGCUAGAUUCACUAAAUUUUGUUUAUAUAAAGAUAUUUAUACAGAAAUUCUCCUGUGCGGACAUCCGGAUGUUGUGGAUUUCAUUAAUUUGGUGACCCUUGUUGGUGAUCCUAGCAUUAUUCGUGGGGAGAACAAUUCUGAAAGAAAAGACUGUAUAUUUGACUAAUCGAAGGGCAGGUUGUUGCUCAUGAUGUGCUUACGUAGGCAUCUCCUUUCUGUUGUUUAUUUGAUAAAGUUUCCUUGUCCUCGCAAGGUAGCUGUAUAAGGACAUGGAUUUAUAUAUACUCAACUCUAUAUAACAUUAUACAUGUGCAGCUUGGUAGAUUAUUAUAAGAUUAGAGUGUGCAUAAAAUUAUAAGAUUAUAACAUUUGUAGCUUAAUUUAGGUGGUUUUUGUUCUCAUCUACGUACAAUGUUAAUGCAGUCACUUUCUAUAUGUACAAUUAGACCCUACGUGUCUCCUACAAUAAUGUACAUUUUAAAGGGUAACGUGGGUCUCAGUAUGCCUACUCUCACAUGUUGAAUGAGAGUCUGAGAGAAGUGAAUGAGUGGAGGUAGGAAAACCACACAAUACGUAAGUUUUUUAGAAUUCAUUUGAAAGAUAUAUGGACGGAUCGAGGUCGAUCUGACAAUGAAUGUGAGGUGUAUGCUUAAGGGACUGCUCGCUUGACAAGGCUUUGCAUGGAAUUUGACACCCCAACCCCAACCCCAAUCCUAACCCCCCAGUUGAUCUGAUCGAGCUCUCCCAGCCCAUGUGUUUCCAUGGUCCACACUCCAACACCCACUAUUGUCUACAUCCAACAAAGUUCCAAACCAAGAAGCUUACUACUUUCCUGGUCUGAUCUCUCUCUCUCUCUCUCUCUCUCUCUCUCUCUCUCUCUCUCUCUCUCUCUCUCUCUCUGUGUGCGUUCUUUAUUGUUUUGUUAAUUAACUACUGAAUUAUGCAAUAUAGCAUUGCUCACAUGUUUCAUAUUUGAGCUUUCCAAUUAAUAUUAGUUGCUUUGGAGAAAGAUGUCAUUAAGAAUUGCAAUUUAAUUAGGUGCAAAUCUAUAGAUGUCAUGUCAGUAAGUUUCACUUUAACACUUGAGCGAGUGUGAAAAUCAUUUCUCUUCAUGAAUGAUAUAUAGACUAAAAUGUUCCAAUGCAAUUGAAAUUAGUACAAAACAUAAUUAGAAUAAAUUUAAUUAUACAUAUGCAUCGGAAAAAGAAAAGAAUUCAAUCAUUAAAGUUAAGGAGAUUGAUAUGUUUUUGUCCCUUGUCUUAAUUUUUGUGUUUUUAAUUAGGUCAAUAGUAAUUCAUCUCUUUCUUAAAGCUAGCGACAUACUAUAGCAUAAUGAAUCGUUGAUUUCAGUAUAUAUAGCAUAAUGAAUUGUUGAUUUGUUUGCAAUUACCAAAGCAAAGCUCCUGGCAUGAAUUACAAGCAAUCAGGUCAGCUUGGAAGAGCUUUGAAGAGCUAGCAAGCAACUCAUGAUCAAACCACAAAAAUCUCCAGCUGCCUACUGUUCAUCGAUAGCUACCAAAACCCUCUGUUGCGCCCUGUGAUGACAACACAUGUACUAAUAAAUUUCUGUUAUAAUCU
Prunus avium (sweet cherry) is the source of this 2893-nucleotide long non-coding RNA. RefSeq lists it as uncharacterized. NCBI's taxonomy places the organism in Eukaryota, Viridiplantae, Streptophyta, Magnoliopsida, Rosales, Rosaceae. The record is from RefSeq and is a predicted model, not a curated record.